GUCAGCUAUGUGGACUCUAGCUGCCAAAGACGCUUCUCCUUUUGAACAGAGCGCUUUGCUCAGCCAGUGUAGACAUGGCCUGAU
Molecule: microRNA precursor, 84 nt
Organism: Jaculus jaculus (lesser Egyptian jerboa)
Lineage: Eukaryota; Metazoa; Chordata; Mammalia; Rodentia; Dipodidae
Product: microRNA 1251
Source: Ensembl